Molecule: long non-coding RNA, 528 nt
Organism: Drosophila nasuta
Lineage: Eukaryota; Metazoa; Arthropoda; Insecta; Diptera; Drosophilidae
Exons: 2
Source: RefSeq, a predicted model, not a curated record
CUUUGUUAUCAUCACUUUUUAUAAAUUCUAUUUGUCUGUUAAAAUAAUUUAAAGGUCUUUCGGUUAUAGGUAUGUGGUGUUGACUAUCUUCUUGAGCGCUAUGUGUAGUUGCUCCUGUGCUAACUGCAUCAUCUCCUAAGAAAUUCUCUUCUAUUUUUAUACGUGAAUGUGCAUCUGCUACAUUAUUCUCUUUUCCUGGUAAAUACUGGAUUUGAUAAUCAUACUCAUUUAAUCGGAUUUUCCAUCUUUGCAAUUUCAUAUUUGGUUCUUUAAUAUUACUGAGCCAAACUAAUGGUUUAUGAUCACUUAGGAUUUGGAAUUUUCUACCGAAUAGCUGAAUAGUUUGAUUCGUGUUCGUUUAAAGUUGGACUUGCAUAUCAAAUGGGUUUGUGUUCCUGUGACAGAACGGCGCCUAUAGCGAAGUUGCUAGCAUCUGUAGUCAAUGAGAAUGGCUUCUCGAAAUUUCGAUAAACUAGUAUCGGAUCGGACGUUAUUAAAACUUUGAAUUUUUCGGAUGCAGAUACAUAA